RNAcentral lists this ribosomal RNA (468 nucleotides) under uncultured bacterium. Its description in RNAcentral is "partial 16S ribosomal RNA". It matches the Rfam family "Bacterial small subunit ribosomal RNA", at positions 28 to 507 of the family's 1533-position model. The record is from RNAcentral.
GACGAACGCUGGCGGCGUGCUUAACACAUGCAAGUCGAACGGAAAGGCCCUGCUUUUGUGGGGUUCUCGAGUGGCGAACGGGUGAGUAACACGUGUGUAACCUGCCCUUGUCUUUGGGAUAACUUCAGGAAACUGGGGCUAAUAUCGGAUAGGAUCUCCUGCUGCAUGGUGGGGGUUGGAAAGUUUCGGCGGUUGGGGAUGGACUCGCGGCUUAUGAGCUUGCUGGUGGGGUAGUGGCUUACCAAGGCUUUGACGGGUAGCCGGCCUGAGAGGGUGACCGGCCACAAUGGGACUAAGAUACGGACCAGACUCCUACGGGAGGCAGCAGUGGGGAAUAUGGCACAAUGAGCGGAAGCCGGAUGCAGCAGCGCCGCGUGCGGGAUGACGGCCUUCGGGGUAAGAACCGCUUUCGCCUGUGACGAAGCGUGAGUGACGGUAAUGGAUAAAUAAGCACCGGCUAACUACGUG